This 501-nucleotide ribosomal RNA is filed under the name uncultured Lachnospiraceae bacterium. RNAcentral describes it as "bacterial SSU rRNA". It matches the Rfam family "Bacterial small subunit ribosomal RNA", at positions 8 to 507 of the family's 1533-position model. The record is from RNAcentral. Lineage: Bacteria; Bacillati; Bacillota; Clostridia; Lachnospirales; Lachnospiraceae.
AGAGUUUGAUCCUGGCUCAGGAUGAACGCUGGCGGCGUGCUUAACACAUGCAAGUCGAGCGGGAAUGCAGAGGCGGAAUUUUUCGGAAGGAAGCCUUUGUGUUUUAGCGGCGGACGGGUGAGUAACGCGUGGAUAACCUGCCCCAUACCGGGGGAUAACAGUUAGAAAUGACUGCUAAUACCGCAUAAGCGCACGGAGCCGCAUGGCGCAGUGUGAAAAACUCCGGUGGUAUGGGAUGGAUCCGCGUCUGAUUAGCUAGUUGCGGGGGUAACGGCCCACCAAGGCAGCGAUCAGUAGCCGACCUGAGAGGGUGGCCGGCCACAUUGGGACUGAGACACGGCCCAAACUCCUACGGGAGGCAGCAGUGGGGAAUAUUGCACAAUGGGGGAAACCCUGAUGCAGCAACGCCGCGUGAGUGAAGAAGUAUUUCGGUAUGUAAAGCUCUAUCAGCAGGGAAGAAGAGAGACGGUACCUGACUAAGAAGCCCCGGCUAACUACGUG